Molecule: ribosomal RNA, 379 nt
Filed under: Spirochaetaceae bacterium
Lineage: Bacteria; Pseudomonadati; Spirochaetota; Spirochaetia; Spirochaetales; Spirochaetaceae
Description: partial 23S ribosomal RNA
Rfam family: Bacterial large subunit ribosomal RNA
Source: RNAcentral
UGGGGCUGGAGUAGGUCCCAAGGGUUGGGCUGUUCGCCCAUUAAAGCGGUACGCGAGCUGGGUUUAGAACGUCGUGAGACAGUUCGGUCCCUAUCCGCUGUGCGCGCAGGAGACUUGAGAAGGGCUGUCCCUAGUACGAGAGGACCGGGACGGACGAACCUCUGGUGUGCCAAUUGUCCUGCCAAGGGCACGGUUGGUUGGCUACGUUCGGAAGGGAUAACCGCUGAAAGCAUCUAAGCGGGAAGCUCGCUUCAAGAUGAGGUCUCCCACAGGGUUAACCUGGUAAGGCCCCCAGUAGACGACUGGGUUGAUAGGCCGGAGGUGGAAGUGCAGCAAUGCAUGGAGCUGACCGGUACUAAUAGGCCGAGGACUUGACCAC